GACGAACGCUGGCGGCGCGCCUAACACAUGCAAGUCGAACGGAGCUGCGAGAAGCUUGCUUUUCUUAGCUUAGUGGCGAACGGGUGAGUAACGCGUGAGUAACCUGCCCUGGAGUGGGGGACAACAGUUGGAAACGACUGCUAAUACCGCAUAAGCCCACGAUCCGGCAUCGGAUUGAGGGAAAAGGAUUUAUUCGCUUCAGGAUGGACCCGCGUCCAAUUAGCUAGUUGGUGAGGUAACGGCCCACCAAGGCGACGAUUGGUAGCCGGACUGAGAGGUUGAACGGCCACAUUGGGACUGAGACACGGCCCAGACUCCUACGGGAGGCAGCAGUGGGGGAUAUUGCACAAUGGGGGAAACCCUGAUGCAGCGACGCCGCGUGGAGGAAGAAGGUUUUCGGAUUGUAAACUCCUGUCGUGAGGGACGAUAAUGACGGUACCUAACAAGAAAGCACCGGCUAACUACGUG
This 468-nucleotide ribosomal RNA is filed under the name uncultured bacterium. RNAcentral's name for it is "partial 16S ribosomal RNA". It matches the Rfam family "Bacterial small subunit ribosomal RNA", at positions 28 to 507 of the family's 1533-position model. The record is from RNAcentral.